Molecule: long non-coding RNA, 290 nt
Organism: Apodemus sylvaticus (European woodmouse)
Lineage: Eukaryota; Metazoa; Chordata; Mammalia; Rodentia; Muridae
Exons: 3
Source: RefSeq, a predicted model, not a curated record
UAGGUGGUUAAGCUCGGAGGGCAGCCUUGUAGGUGGUUAAGCUCUGAGGGCAGUCUUGUAGGUGGUUAAGCUCGGAGGGCAGUCUUGUAGGUGGUUAAGCUCGGAGGGCAGUCUUGUAGGUGGUUAAGCUCGGAGGGCAGUCUUGUAGGUGGUUAAGCUCUGAGGGCAGUCUUGUAGGUGGUUAAGCUCGGAGGGCAGCCUUGUAGGUGGUUAAGCUCGGAGGGCAGCCUUGUAGGCGGUUAAGCUCGGAGGGCAGUCUUGUAGGUGGUUAAGCUCGGAGGUCAGUCUUG